This 414-nucleotide ribosomal RNA is filed under the name uncultured bacterium. RNAcentral describes it as "bacterial SSU rRNA". It matches the Rfam family "Bacterial small subunit ribosomal RNA", at positions 355 to 794 of the family's 1533-position model. The record is from RNAcentral.
UUAGGAAUCUUCCCCAAUGGGCGAAAGCCUGAGGGAGCGACACUGCGUGAAGGAUGACAGCCUUCGGGUUGUAAACUUCUGAACGAGGGACGACGGUACCUCGCUAACAGCACCAGCUAACUCUGUGCCAGCAGCCGCGGUAAUACGGAGGGUGCAAGCGUUGUCCGGAAUCAUUGGGCGUAAAGAGCUCGUAGGCGGUUCAGUAAGUCGGGUGUGAAAGCUCCGAGCUCAACUCGGAGAGGCCACUCGAUACUGCUGGACUAGAAUCCAGUAGGGGAGUGUGGAAUUCCUGGUGUAGCGGUGAAAUGCGCAGAUAUCAGGAGGAACACCGGCGGCGAAGGCGGCACUCUGGGCUGGUAUUGACGCUGAGGAGCGAAAGUGUGGGUAGCAAACAGGAUUAGAUACCCUAGUAGU